GAUGAACGCUAGCGACAGGCUUAACACAUGCAAGUCGAGGGGCAGCACGGGAGUAGCAAUACAACUGGUGGCGACCGGCGCACGGGUGAGUAACGCGUAUGCAACCUACCUAUCAGAGGGGAAUAACCCGGCGAAAGUCGGACUAAUACCGCAUAAAACAGGGGCACCGCAUGGUGAUAUUUGUUAAAGAAAUUCGCUGAUAGAUGGGCAUGCGUUCCAUUAGGUAGUUGGUGAGGUAACGGCUCACCAAGCCGACGAUGGAUAGGGGAACUGAGAGGUUGGUCCCCCACACUGGUACUGAGACACGGACCAG
RNAcentral lists this ribosomal RNA (313 nucleotides) under uncultured bacterium. RNAcentral describes it as "bacterial SSU rRNA". It matches the Rfam family "Bacterial small subunit ribosomal RNA", at positions 28 to 334 of the family's 1533-position model. The record is from RNAcentral.